GGGCUAAAAUUUGACUGGCUGAUCGGAAACAAAAUUCGCGCCGCACUGAGGGCAAUUUCGUCAUUUUUCGCGACGCGCGAUUUUUGUUUCCGAUCAACAGUCAAAUUUUAGCCC
This 114-nucleotide microRNA precursor is filed under the name Olea europaea subsp. europaea. The record is from RNAcentral. Lineage: Eukaryota; Viridiplantae; Streptophyta; Magnoliopsida; Lamiales; Oleaceae.